UUCACAUAGACAAGAUAACAAAAACGAAUAGCACUUUCUUUAAUUUUAAUAAUUUUCAGGGGAUUUUCCAUUUUCCAGGUACUUUCAACAGCAGGUGUCUGACGCGGGAGAUGUAAUAAAGAUGCGGCGUACCUUCCGUGAAAAAAAGACUCUUUCCGUUAAAUUCCGGCAUUGUAAUGUCAAAAUAUUUUUGACCAAUGAAAAAGCUGUAAAUUCGCUCCCUGUUUAAAGUAUGGAAAUUUGGUAAAUAACAUGGAUCAAGCAUGGAAGAUUUGCACAUAAAGGAAAAUUUGCCAUUACAAAAUGAUAGUGAUGCUGUGAAAGUACUCUCACUGCCUGCUUCUAUUAAUAAGAGAGCCCCUUAAAGUCUUCAACAUGAGUACAUCCACUCCUAGAAAGCCCCUCACUGAUAUUAAACAGGUGGCUAGACCCAAAGACAGUGUGAAUAUAAAGACAAGUACACCAUUCGGGACCCCUCGACCAACAAACUU
Ruditapes philippinarum (Manila clam) is the source of this 491-nucleotide long non-coding RNA. RefSeq lists it as uncharacterized. The record is from RefSeq and is a predicted model, not a curated record. NCBI's taxonomy places the organism in Eukaryota, Metazoa, Mollusca, Bivalvia, Venerida, Veneridae. The transcript has 3 exons.